This 253-nucleotide ribosomal RNA is filed under the name uncultured bacterium. RNAcentral's name for it is "partial 16S ribosomal RNA". It matches the Rfam family "Bacterial small subunit ribosomal RNA", at positions 524 to 776 of the family's 1533-position model. The record is from RNAcentral.
UACGAAGGGGGCUAGCGUUGCUCGGAAUUACUGGGCGUAAAGCGUGCGCAGGCGGUGAUGUAAGACAGUUGUGAAAUCCCCGGGCUCAACCUGGGAACUGCAUCUGUGACUGCAUCGCUGGAGUACGGUAGAGAGGGAUGGAAUUCCGCGUGUAGCAGUGAAAUGCGUAGAUAUGCGGAGGAACACCGAUGGCGAAGGCAAUCCCCUGGACCUGUACUGACGCUCAUGCACGAAAGCGUGGGGAGCAAACAGG